RNAcentral lists this long non-coding RNA (1529 nucleotides) under Phasianus colchicus (ring-necked pheasant). RNAcentral describes it as "lncRNA (ENSPCLG00000020844.1)". The record is from RNAcentral. Lineage: Eukaryota; Metazoa; Chordata; Aves; Galliformes; Phasianidae.
AGAAGCACUAAUCUGAUAUUCUAGCAAUAUGUUGUGUGGUAGGUGUACGUUCACAUGGAAUGUGCUUUCUCUUGUAAUAUUUUCAUAUUUUUAAUUUUUAAGACAUUAUUUGCUGAUUUUUACAAAACAGGAAUGCAUUCCAACACAAUGCAGGUGUCACUUGGAACAUCUUUGGAAGCAGAAAAUCUUAUGUGAUUUGGGGAUGCUUCUUGGUCAUCUCUAAGCAAAAGUUCUAGAUAUGUCUUUUCUCGAGCGUAAGGACAAAUGUGAGUCUGUUCUGAAGCCAAGGAUUUUACUGUAGCUCUUUGUUGACAGAGACCAAGGGCAUUUCCUCAGCUGUAGAGCCAGACAACCUGAUAUGAAAUGUGCCAAUGCAAAAAUAUCUGACAGGCUGAUGUGCAUCAGUUUUAAUGAUGUCACACGCUCCAGAUUUUGUUUUCUAUUAAAUAACUUUCAGAACAACUGCUAUUAAAUAUAAUAGUUUAAGGAGAAUAAUGGAUUGAACAGCUGCCUUGAAAAUACGGCUCCCAAAAAAAUAGGGACUCAGUCUUGCCUUAUCUCAGUCUAAGUGGCAGUUUUCCUGUGGAGUUCAACAUCACUGUUUAAUGUGAACUCAUACAAAUAAAUGGCUGAGAAAAGUCAUGGGGAUUUUCUUGCGUGUGUUAGUAACCUAUAUGAAUAGGUACUACACAGAUUCUUGUGUGGUGUUAUUGCAACACAGUAUGUCUUAGAGAUUCUUUUAUUUCCUUUAAUAUACUCCAGUGCUUGGAGUAUGAAGCUGGCAGCAUUCAGCAUCUUAUUUCAAUCAUCAUUUGACACCUCAUUCACUCUUACAAACAUAACUAGCCAGCUCAUCUGUUACCUGCACUGUAUGAUUUUGACUUAAUUUAUUGCACAAUUGUGUUACAUUUGGCAGUCAUUUGUGAAUGUUUUCAGUUCAACAGCAAGUCAUCGACAAACCUAUGGUGAAAGUUACAAUGUUUCAAAGGACAUAUAAUCUGCUGUGCUUUUCAAAAUCCCAAAAUAGGAACUCUAUAAAUUGCUUAGAAGUUUUUUACUCUUACAAACGACUGAUACAACUAACAGCUCUUGCAGAAGAAUUCCAUUUGCAACCUGAGUCAAAACUGCGCUAUGGUUUAUUUCAAACUACUCAAUGUAAAUGUUUACUGAAAAUGGACUGGACUAUGGAUUCCAGAAUGCAAUCAUCGUGCUUUGUUACCUUUAUGUUUGAAAUGUGGAGUAAGGAAUUUUUUGCAUAGGAAUCACCUGAACAAAAAAUGUACAUGCAAACCAUUAUCGAAAUUGUUACAGUUGUUUUUGGAGACUAAGAAUAGUAUGAACAAAUCUUGAUAAUUUAUUUCUUGCAACACUAAAGUGAAAGUUGUUUCUUUAGAAGUCUAGGAGCAAAAAGAAGUCUGGAUCUCUUUCUUUUGAGCUUCAGCUGUAGAAGUACAUGGAAACUAAGGUAAAAAUAAUCUCAUAAAUCUCUAGGGAAUAAAAGUAUGGAUGCAUAUAAAAUCUAAUAAUUU